This is a long non-coding RNA of Actinia tenebrosa (Australian red waratah sea anemone), 633 nucleotides long. The record is from RefSeq and is a predicted model, not a curated record. NCBI's taxonomy places the organism in Eukaryota, Metazoa, Cnidaria, Anthozoa, Actiniaria, Actiniidae.
AAAUUAUAUUAUUUGAAAAAAUAAAAAGGUGGCCAUAUGAUUGGAUGCACACGUCUGUCCUUAGCUUCAAGAUUGCUUUUUACUAUAUAUGAAUAUGAUUAUGAACAGACCAUUUGAUUUCUUGUAGGAAACAUGUCAAGUAGAGAAUAAUGAGCAACACGAUGGGCAAAGUGACUACUUCGAAAGUAGAGAGCAAAGGAUAAAGGAAAACAAGUUGGAAAUGUGGAAAAUUGGCCUGCUUACCAAAUCAGAGGCAACAAUUGUUGCUCUGUUCUUCUUGGGAAUACCAAAAUUGCAAAAUGUGCAAAUGAAGGUUUUGAAGCAAGCUUGCUUAAACAACAAUGUCCCCUUCACAAAACUCUCCAAGAAGAACCAUUUGUGUGAACUUCUUGGGGAGUUUUCAUACGAAGAAGAAAUAAUAAUAAGAAAAAAUGACGAUGAAGGUUUUACUUAUAGCAACCUUAAAUCCAUGAUCACAGAUAUUUGAGUCCGAGUUCACAAUUUUUUUUAUUGCUGCUUUUUUACCAGUUUUUCCAUGUGCAUCCCUUGGUAGAUUGUAGAAUGACAGCAAUUUUUGGGUCAAUUGAAUGCUCUGAAACAUAUUUUUUUAUGAUUGUUGUGCGAUGACAAUUU